RNAcentral lists this ribosomal RNA (1098 nucleotides) under Francisella philomiragia. RNAcentral's name for it is "bacterial SSU rRNA". It matches the Rfam family "Bacterial small subunit ribosomal RNA", at positions 164 to 1261 of the family's 1533-position model. The record is from RNAcentral. Lineage: Bacteria; Pseudomonadati; Pseudomonadota; Gammaproteobacteria; Thiotrichales; Francisellaceae.
UUAUACCGCAUAAUAUCUGUGGAUUAAAGGUGGCUUAGGCUGCCGCAGAUGGAUGAGCCUGCGUUGGAUUAGCUAGUUGGUGGGGUAAGGGCCUACCAAGGCUACGAUCCAUAGCUGAUUUGAGAGGAUGAUCAGCCACAUUGGGACUGAGACACGGCCCAAACUCCUACGGGAGGCAGCAGUGGGGAAUAUUGGACAAUGGGGGAAACCCUGAUCCAGCAAUGCCAUGUGUGUGAAGAAGGCUCUAGGGUUGUAAAGCACUUUAGUUGGGGAGGAAAGCCUAUGAGUUAAUAGCUUGUAGGAAGGACGUUACCCAAAGAAUAAGGACCGGCUAACUCCGUGCCAGCAGCCGCGGUAAUACGGGGGGUCCGAGCGUUAAUCGGAAUUACUGGGCGUAAAGGGUCUGUAGGUGGUUUGUUAAGUCAGAUGUGAAAGCCCAGGGCUCAACCUUGGAACUGCAUUUGAUACUGGCAAACUAGAGUAUGGUAGAGGAAUGGGGAAUUUCUGGUGUAGCGGUGAAAUGCGUAGAGAUCAGAAGGAACACCAAUGGCGAAGGCAACAUUCUGGACCAAUACUGACACUGAGGGACGAAAGCGUGGGGAUCAAACAGGAUUAGAUACCCUGGUAGUCCACGCUGUAAACGAUGAGUACUAGCUGUUGGAUUCGGUGUAAAGGAUCUAGUGGCGCAGCUAACGCGUUAAGUACUCCGCCUGGGGACUACGGCCGCAAGGCUAAAACUCAAAGGAAUUGACGGGGACCCGCACAAGCGGUGGAGCAUGUGGUUUAAUUCGAUGCAACGCGAAGAACCUUACCUGGUCUUGACAUCCUGCGAACUUUCUAGAGAUAGAUUGGUGCCUUCGGGAACGCAGUGACAGGUGCUGCACGGCUGUCGUCAGCUCGUGUUGUGAAAUGUUGGGUUAAGUCCCGCAACGAGCGCAACCCCUAUUGAUAGUUACCAUCAUUAAGUUGGGUACUCUAUUGAGACUGCCGCUGACAAGGCGGAGGAAGGUGGGGACGACGUCAAGUCAUCAUGGCCCUUACGACCAGGGCUACACACGUGCUACAAUGGGUAUUACAGAGGGCUGCGAAAGGUGCGAG